CGCACAUUGCGCCCCUUGGUAUUCCGGGGGGCAUGCCCGUUCGAGCGUCAUUACACCACACAAGCCUGGCUUGGUAUUGGGCCACGGGGGGGACCCGGGCCUCAAAGUCCUCGGCCGGACCGCCGGAAUCUCAGCGUCGUGAAUCAAUUUCGCUGGCGAGACGGGAGGUGCGCGCCGGAAAACACCCUUAUCACAGGUUGACCUCGGAUCGGGUAGGGAUACCCGCUGAACUUAA
This 235-nucleotide unclassified non-coding RNA is filed under the name fungal sp. RNAcentral describes it as "partial contains 5.8S ribosomal RNA, internal transcribed spacer 2, and large subunit ribosomal RNA". Lineage: Eukaryota; Fungi. The record is from RNAcentral.